Molecule: transfer RNA, 76 nt
Filed under: Candidatus Palibaumannia cicadellinicola
Lineage: Bacteria; Pseudomonadati; Pseudomonadota; Gammaproteobacteria
Description: Candidatus Baumannia cicadellinicola tRNA-Ala
Rfam family: tRNA
About the family: Transfer RNA (tRNA) molecules are approximately 80 nucleotides in length.
Source: RNAcentral
GGGGCUAUAGCUCAGAUGGAAGAGUACUUGCAUGGCAUGCAAGAGGUCAGCGGUUCAAUCCCGCUUAGCUCCACCA